Molecule: ribosomal RNA, 198 nt
Filed under: Triticum aestivum (bread wheat)
Lineage: Eukaryota; Viridiplantae; Streptophyta; Magnoliopsida; Poales; Poaceae
Description: partial small subunit ribosomal RNA
Source: RNAcentral
AUGCAGCUCGCGCUCAUGCGGACUGAGUCAGACGGCGGCAACCAUCAGGGCCAGGAGCAUGGGCAUGGCGCGGCUACCCUGGUCCCAAGCCUAACACCAUCGUUGGGUGGUGCCGUCCGUCUCCGUCCGCCAGGAAAGGGCCAAGCCCCGGGCCGACGUAAAGGACUUCUACCUCCUGCCUCGGCGUCCAUGGUGUAG